AUUGAACGCUGGCGGCAUGCUUUACACAUGCAAGUCGAACGGCAGCACGGAGAGCUUGCUCUCUGGUGGCGAGUGGCGAACGGGUGAGUAAUACAUCGGAACGUACCCAGUAGUGGGGGACAACCAGCCGAAAGGUUGGCUAAUACCGCAUAAUACCUACGGGGGAAAGCAGGGGACCUUAGGGCCUUGUGCUACUGGAGCGGCCGAUGACAGAUUAGGUAGUUGGUGGGGUAAAGGCCUACCAAGCCCGCGAUCUGUAGCUGGUCUGAGAGGAUGAUCAGCCACACUGGGACUGAGACACGGCCCAGACUCCUACGGGAGGCAGCAGUGGGGAAUUUUGGACAAUGGGGGAAACCCUGAUCCAGCCAUGCCGCGUGCAGGAUGAAGGCCUUCGGGUCGUAAACUGCUUUUGUCAGGGAAGAAAGACGAAUUAUUAAUACCAAUUUGCGCUGACGGUACCUGAAGAAUAAGCACCGGCUAACUACGUGCCAGCAGCCGCCGUAAC
RNAcentral lists this ribosomal RNA (505 nucleotides) under uncultured Neisseriaceae bacterium. RNAcentral's name for it is "bacterial SSU rRNA". It matches the Rfam family "Bacterial small subunit ribosomal RNA", at positions 30 to 524 of the family's 1533-position model. The record is from RNAcentral. Lineage: Bacteria; Pseudomonadati; Pseudomonadota; Betaproteobacteria; Neisseriales; Neisseriaceae.